GGGCCCAUAGCUCAGCUGGAAGAGCGGCCGGCUCAUAACCGGUUGGUCCCAGGUUCGAGCCCUGGUGGGCCCACCA
This 76-nucleotide transfer RNA is filed under the name Bacillota bacterium. Its description in RNAcentral is "Firmicutes bacterium (anaerobic digester metagenome) tRNA-Ile". It matches the Rfam family "tRNA". Rfam says of the family: Transfer RNA (tRNA) molecules are approximately 80 nucleotides in length. Their secondary structure includes four short double-helical elements and three loops (D, anti-codon, and T loops). Further hydrogen bonds mediate the characteristic L-shaped molecular structure. tRNAs have two regions of fundamental functional importance: the anti-codon, which is responsible for specific mRNA codon recognition, and the 3' end, to which the tRNAs corresponding amino acid is attached (by aminoacyl-tRNA synthetases). tRNAs cope with the degeneracy of the genetic code in two manners: having more than one tRNA (with a specific anti-codon) for a particular amino acid; and 'wobble' base-pairing, i.e. permitting non-standard base-pairing at the 3rd anti-codon position. Lineage: Bacteria; Bacillati; Bacillota. RNAcentral also lists the same sequence under 1 other name. The record is from RNAcentral.